This 642-nucleotide long non-coding RNA is filed under the name Junco hyemalis (dark-eyed junco). Its description in RNAcentral is "lncRNA (ENSJHYG00000010564.1)". Lineage: Eukaryota; Metazoa; Chordata; Aves; Passeriformes; Passerellidae. The record is from RNAcentral.
AUAGAAAAGAACUACUAAUUGGUGGAACUGAUUUUAAAGUGAAUGAAGAGAAUCCUCCAGCCUUACAUCUUCUCAUGACUCAAGCAAGAACGCAUCAGAGAGCUCCAAAACUGCCCAGUGAUGCAUCUCUAGCGUGUUUUCUUAGAACUGGAAGCUUCACUGCCACGAGUCCCAGGACUUUGCUGAAAUUGGCUCUGUUGAGUCUUGAAGGGCAGCUGCUGUUUUUCCUGAUGAAAAGGCUUUCCCAGCUGCAAGCCAGCCCAGCCUGCCUCUACAGAGGGCUCAGUGCCUGUCCUACCCAGAUCAAGGACUGCCUGUGGAUUCUAACACUGACUAGGGGUUUAAAAUCCUUCAUCUCUUCUUAAGUGAUGUUGGCAACCUAAUUUUGACUUAAUAUUUCCACAAUGCUGAAGAAAAAAGAGAAAAAGAAUAAUUACAAAAAACAAAAUAAGCAGAAAUUGUUUCAGUGAGGUGUUUUGAUCACCCCCAUGAGCUGUUUUCUUGCUGUGCUGUGCAUGACUGAAAAUCAGAAAGUGAAUCUGCCUAUUACUGAAUGGGAAGCUGACCAAACUCGUUUCAUCAGACUUCAGCAAAAAUCGCAAACAAGGGAAAAAUAAACGUAGGUGAUUAGAAUUAUUUCCA